Molecule: small RNA, 3658 nt
Filed under: Arabidopsis thaliana (thale cress)
Lineage: Eukaryota; Viridiplantae; Streptophyta; Magnoliopsida; Brassicales; Brassicaceae
Description: ATSL017960
Source: RNAcentral
AAAAAUUAUCAUUAAACAAGCUUCUGAUCAACAAAAUAAUAUCCCAAAAAGGUGGAUUAAAUUUUUGUUUUCUUCAUAGACAUAAGGAAAUUAACUUUACAGUCUGACCAUUGAUUAACUUUCAGCAAUGUGCACAACUGCCAUUUUGAUAACACCAUAGUUUAAGAUGCCAAAAAAACAAAGGAAGAUGGAGCGAGAAAGAUGAAUUACGCUAUAGGAAUUGAUUUUCCUCUUAAGUGCUCAAGUCUCACUUUAAAUUCAACUAUCACGGAUGAGCCAAAUGCCCAGCCCUAAACAAAAAGAUUAACUUAGUAAUUGAUACCUUGUAGAAAGACAAACCGUGAGAUCAGUGAAAGUGGUAAGUUGCCUGGAUAUCACGAAAGUGUCAAGACUCUUCUCUUCACCAUCUUUAAUCAUAUCUUCCAUCAUAUGAAUCUUCAGCAUCUUGAAUUGACGAUCGAAGACAGGCUUGUAGAGAUGACUCAAACGUGUACCACAAUGGCCUCAUAAUAUAGAUGCAAGAUUAUUAUGAUUGAAUGACGAUUCUUCGGAUGCAUAUGUAGGAAUAAACACUGCGUCAUACGAGUUCUCAUAACCAUCAAUUCACUUUCGAAUAGAAAUGGUAAAUUUUCAUUACAAACUGAUCCAAGCACUUCAAGACCUAAUGAGAACAAAGUAAAUCAACACAAAGACAGUGUCCGGACUUUUGAUAGGAUUUAUUUUUUAAAAGGUAUUUCGCAUAUAAACUUCUUAACAUAGAUCUCUACAUAUAUAGACAAAAUGAAAUAAAUACAAAGAUGUGCUUCAUAAGUUCUCAACAAAGCCCAAGUAAUCUCCACAAUAAGGCUUAUUUAUAAGUCCUCUAAUCUGAGUGACUUCAAUGAUUCUUCCAGCCCAAAACAAGGCUUCUCUCCUCCAGAAAAAUAAUUAGGAUUAUUAUAUUAUUAUUUGUUUUGUUUCCUCGAAUAAAAAAGAGAAUCCGAGAACUUUUUAAGACAAAAGCCAAGUCUUCGAAACCUUAUGAGAUGUGAUAGGGUUACAAGGGUAAAACAGGAACUCAGAAUAAAAAUAUGAGAAUAUUACACGUAGAGGCACUAUUUCAAAACUUUGGACACAAUAGAACACUUUAAAACCAUUAGUCACUUUAACUCAGUAUAAUUACCCCUUUACCCUGAAAUCGUUGGUUUAAUAAAACAUAACAAAUUUAGCCGGUUUUCUCUAAUCCGGUUCCGGUUGAACCACGUAUUAUCAGUUACUGUCAUUUACCAACACGAUUGUAAAAUCUUCAUUUACCAACACGAUUGUAAAAAACCGCUUACCCAGUAAAAACCCUAAUUUACUGUAUCUCCACAUCGCCACUGCUCCCAAUCCGUCGCCUGCUCCGAAUCCGGCGACUCCUCCGUCGCUGUCCAUCAAUCCGCCACUCAGGCGAGUCUAUACUCGCUGAAUAAAAACCAAAUAGUAAUUUCCCCCAAAUCUCUGCAAUAAUCGAAUUCGAUUUCGAUUUAUUGUUCUCGUAAGCCAGAUUCAUUAGCAUUCCAGUUGAUUCUCACUGAUCGGAAUACUCAAUGGAAGGUACAAAUCGUUUCCAAUCAUCUUAUUUUGGUCCAAUUAACUCAGAAGAAGAAAUCCUCUUCUCGCUGAAUGUUUCUGCAAUUUUUUUUUUGAAUCGAAAAAUGUUUCCCAAUUGUUUGUAGCUAAGCACAGACGUUUGUACAAAUACUCGUUAAUAAUCGUUAUCUCUUGAACUGGUUUCUUGCCAAUGAACAGGGUCGACAUCUCAGGAACCAUCUUCUCAGUGGGAUUCAAACCUUCCAAAUAGACUCUUCGCCACCGAUCAUUAUCCGAGGGGAAGGCUGAACGUAUACUCUAGACCGGAUAUUCUAUCCUUUAUCAAGAAGGUUUUUGAUGGGACAGAGGAAUUAGAUUUUAUACUUCAGUCUUGCUUUGGUCCUUUAUUCCAUUUGCCAGUUAGUAGGGUUGCGACUUCGGGUAAGGUCAUUCAUGCCUUGUUAUGUAGACAGUUGCUUACUAAGAAAAAGUAUGAGUUUUGGACAGUUUUUGGUGGACACCCAAUGAGAUUUUCACUACUAGAAUUUGCUUCCGUGACUGGCUUACCUUGUGGGGAGUUUCCUGACGAGUAUGACCCUGAAGAUUCUCCUGUUUAUGAUGAUGGCAAGAAGAGCUACUGGAAUGAGUUAAUUGGUCCAGACAAGACGGUUACAUUAGGCGAGAUACUUCGGACGGGUGAGCUGACGAGCUGCUUGAGACUGGCGAGCUGAUGAGCUGACGAGAUGCUUCAGACGGGUGAGCUGACGAGCUGGUUGAGACGGGAGAGCUGACGAGCUGCUCUUAGUCUCUAAGUGUCCUCGCGGAAUCCCCCUUUGACAAGACAUGCUAUUCCGUAUUUAUAGCCUUCUGCGUGUAAUGACAUCUUUACAAUCAUUCAAUAAUGAAAUGGCGCCUUUCAUGUCGAGAGAACAGAACCCUAGCCUCAAGCUCUGGAGAUACAUAGCGUAAGGGUUUCUUUUUGCAAGACAUUUGGAGUAGAAUGAGAAGUGAACAGAGUCGGGUGAAGACAUGUUGAUGAAGUCAGGGCUUUUAUCUAAACGAACUCGGGAUAGUGUCUCGACAGAGAAAGCUGCAGAUUUCCCUUCAUGACCAGAUUUAAUCCAGUUUUUCAGAGCCUCAAUUCCUUCUUCUGAAACGUGGCUAACAAUUAGUGCGAGAAUUGGUUCCGGAAUGUAUAAUCUUGCAAUCUUCCUCUGUUGACAACGAAGACGAAAGUUUAUAGAAGUUACAUAUACUUUGUGGAAUGAAUGUAAACUAUAUUGUUUAAAAAAUUGAAAAAUUUAACCUGUGUGUCGCUAGAUUGUGUGAUAGAGUGUAGACAUUUCGAUGAUGUACUCAUUUUGUCAAUUUGUUGCGAAUAACGAAAGAGUAAGAUGUGAUGGAGAGAGAAGUUUUAGUACUGAUCAAAACGGUUUAGAAAUGAGUAAUAAAAACAGAGUAAUUAAUUGGAUGUUUCUCUUAAUAGGUCACAAUCGUGAGGGAUGAAGCUUAGUGGGGAGUACGGGUUCAGUUAAUAUUCACUAUAUAUUAACUCUAAAUAUAAAAGCUACCACUUGAAUUCCAUUAAACCAAUUUCAUAUACAAAAACGCAAGUCAUAGUUCUGAAACAACUCAAAUCAUUUGUAUAAUAAUUGUGACACCUUUUAGUUGUUGAUUAUUAAGCUUUUGGAAAACGGUUUAUAGGGAUGGCAAAUGAUUUGAGUUGUUUCAUAAUUAGCUCGAAUGAUUUACAAAUCAACAACACAGUUUACAAACAGAGGUCAAAAUUAAUAUUUUUGUGUAUUUUGAACUAUUGUUGAUUUGUAAAUCUUAAUAUAAAUGUCAUCCAGUCAUAGUGAAUUAUUCAAUCAGACAAACGAAUUAAUACAGUUAUGUUGUGGAUGGAUUCAUAUGGAUACAUUAACAAUUAUCUUUCUCUUUCAACAUGAAAGAUAAAUCUAAAAUUCCUUCUACCGGAAAUAUUGAGAUACUGUUGUAUAGCGGAAAUAUUCCCACCAUCAGGUUUUAAACUAGGAUUUUUUUGGUUCGAGCAUAAUUCGGGGACAUUAUGGUUAGAGCACAAUUAUAGUUAGAUCAUUAUCUUUUU